AUGCCUGGAUCAUCGGAGCGAGUUGGACGAUCGGACCGAGGGCUGCCCCCUCUUCCCCUCUCUCUCCUUUCCUUAAUAUUCACCGUCGAGUCAGCAAAGCCGUCAACUAAUUCAGAGGGGCUCGGAUGGCCCGGUCACCCUACGCUACUGGUGCUUCCAAAGGCGAAGCUCUCGUCUUUGGCGACCAACAAAUGGAUGGCUAAAACCUGUAGUUUUGAAGCAAGGGAUGAGAGGGAAAUCCGUUGCGCUUCCGUACACGCGCAUAUGUUUUCUUGCUGGGGCAGACACGGAUUUCUCUCUAAAGGCAAAGAAAAAGAAGUGGGCGAACACUCGGCCCAGCGGGCGAACAUGCCGGCUUGGGCUCCGCGCACCUGCUGA
Molecule: ribosomal RNA, 378 nt
Filed under: Triticum aestivum (bread wheat)
Lineage: Eukaryota; Viridiplantae; Streptophyta; Magnoliopsida; Poales; Poaceae
Description: partial small subunit ribosomal RNA
Source: RNAcentral